Molecule: long non-coding RNA, 597 nt
Organism: Erpetoichthys calabaricus (reedfish)
Lineage: Eukaryota; Metazoa; Chordata; Cladistia; Polypteriformes; Polypteridae
Exons: 3
Source: RefSeq, a predicted model, not a curated record
UAUAUAUGCUCAAUAUCCACUUUUUAUCUAUGACUCAUUUUUUGCCUCCAGAACAGUCUACAUUCUUUGAGACAUUGUGGUGGUGUGGGGUCGGCUGCAUGCUACCAGUUGCAUCCCAGGAGCCUCUUGAACCCGGUACAGCUAAUAACGUACCAGAGGGAUGAGCCGGAAAAUGAGGACUCUCACUCAAAGCAAGUGGAUUGCACCCAGCAAACUCUUUUCUGCUUGGCUGUGCGAUUGAACCUUGUAAAGGAUCUGCUAUGUGUGCUUCUUGCCUUAAACUCCGUACUGCUGAAAUAAUAACACAGUGCAGAGAACACGUCUAGUAAGGGCAAUUGAUCUGGAGACGCUCCACCGCGUCCAGCUGAGAUGGUAUAAAGCCAGACACCCCCAAAAGGAGACGUUGCAUUUUGGACUUGAGCCAUUCCAUUAUGGAACUCUUCCAAAGUCUGACUUUGUUUAACAGCUCCAUGCCCAGUGAUUCAGAUUCAACAGCAUUCGACUGGUCUUGGAUCUUAUGUGCCAUCAUAUACUUCUUUAUUUUGAUGUUUUUGUUUCAGUAUUAAAGAAGUGGUCUGCCUGGCAGCCUGUUUUUGG